UACGGAGGGUGCGAGCGUUAAUCGGAAUUACUGGGCGUAAAGGGUGCGUAGGUGGUUUGGUAAGUUAUCUGUGAAAGCCCUGGGCUUAACCUGGGAAGGUCAGAUAAGACUGCGAGACUUGAGUAUGGGAGAGGGUAGUGGAAUUUCCGGUGUAGCGGUGAAAUGCGUAGAGAUCGGAAGGAACACCAGUGGCGAAGGCGGCUACCUGGCCUAAUACUGACACUGAAGCACGAAAGCGUGGGGAGCAAACAGGAUUAGAUACCCUGGUAGUCCACGCCGUAAACGAUGUCAACUAGCUGUUGGGCAUAUGAAUGUGCUUAGUGGCGUAGCUAACGCGCUAAGUUGACCGCCUGGGGAGUACGAUCGCAAGAUUAAA
Molecule: ribosomal RNA, 376 nt
Filed under: uncultured bacterium
Lineage: Bacteria
Description: bacterial SSU rRNA
Rfam family: Bacterial small subunit ribosomal RNA
Source: RNAcentral